UCUCUGGUGGCUUUGAUGGUAAAGGAUCCACCUGUAAUGUGGGAGACCCAGGUUUGAUCCCUGGAUUGGGAA
RNAcentral lists this transfer RNA (72 nucleotides) under Ovis aries (sheep). It matches the Rfam family "tRNA". Rfam says of the family: Transfer RNA (tRNA) molecules are approximately 80 nucleotides in length. Their secondary structure includes four short double-helical elements and three loops (D, anti-codon, and T loops). The record is from Rfam by way of RNAcentral. Lineage: Eukaryota; Metazoa; Chordata; Mammalia; Artiodactyla; Bovidae.